This is a small nucleolar RNA of Frankliniella occidentalis (western flower thrips), 68 nucleotides long. RefSeq annotates it as small nucleolar RNA SNORD49. The transcript has a single exon. The record is from RefSeq and is a predicted model, not a curated record. Lineage: Eukaryota; Metazoa; Arthropoda; Insecta; Thysanoptera; Thripidae.
GCCACUGAUGAUCCUACUUAUAGGAAUUGCCGUCUGAACGAUAAUUGCAGACAAACUUAUAACUGAGG